AGGGGGAAGUCGGAGCACCCAGAGGAAACCCACACAGUCGCAGAGAGAACAUGAACAGAAAGAACCAGCUGAGCAGCAGAAGAUAAAGAGAUGGUUGGAGGAGCCCCAGGACAGCAGAACCAGGCCAGGAAGAUGAAGAAGAUGAAGACCAGCCCCAAAUGGACAAGAAGAAGAAGAAGAGCGGCUCCAGAUUUCUCCAAUGGUUUCUCUGGAUCUGGAGCUGCAUGUUUCUGAUCUGCUGUUAUUGGCCUCAGCGACCUCCACAGUCUUCAUGUUCUUUU
This is a long non-coding RNA of Amphiprion ocellaris (clown anemonefish), 281 nucleotides long. RefSeq lists it as uncharacterized. Lineage: Eukaryota; Metazoa; Chordata; Actinopteri; Pomacentridae. The transcript has 3 exons. The record is from RefSeq and is a predicted model, not a curated record.